AGCGAACGCUGGCGGCAGGCCUAAUACAUGCAAGUCGAGCGGCCCUUCGGGGCAGCGGCGGACGGGUGAGUAACGCGUGGGAACGUGCCCUUUGGUACGGAACAACUGAGGGAAACUUCAGCUAAUACCGUAUGUGCCCUUCGGGGAAAGAUUUAUCGCCAUUGGAGCGGCCCGCGUUGGAUUAGCUAGUUGGUGGGGUAAAGGCCCACCAAGGCGACGAUCCAUAGCUGGUCUGAGAGGAUGAUCAGCCACACUGGGACUGAGACACGGCCCAGACUCCUACGGGAGGCAGCAGUAGGGAAUCUUGCGCAAUGGGCGAAAGCCUGACGCAGCCAUGCCGCGUGAAUGAUGAAGGUCUUAGGAUUGUAAAAUUCUUUCACCGGGGAAGAUAAUGACGGUACCCGGAGAAGAAGCCCCGGCUAACUUCGUG
RNAcentral lists this ribosomal RNA (430 nucleotides) under uncultured bacterium. RNAcentral's name for it is "bacterial SSU rRNA". It matches the Rfam family "Bacterial small subunit ribosomal RNA", at positions 29 to 507 of the family's 1533-position model. The record is from RNAcentral.